UCUCCCCAGAAGGGAUGCCAGGAGGCUAACUCUACUACACCUGGUUCCUUUUCUCCCCAUGCAGGCAGAAUACAAACAGAAAGUAGGAAAUUAGAUGGCAGAUUACUACUGGAUACCAAGGCCUGCAUAGAGUGGACCUUCACAUUCACCCAGCCCAGUUGUGAUGUAGGAAACAGCAGAACAAGGAGCCAGUCCUCUCUGACGCAUUACAGAAAGACCGUGCAUAUUCCGUCAUUCUAUGUACAGCUCCUGAAGAAAAACGGAUGUUAAAGAUGCUUAGUGUACUCUGGUGCAUGCCAGUAUGAAGCUCUCGUGUGGAAGAGAUAGAAAAGGCAAAGUAUACCAUUCUGAUAGAGUUCUCUUUUCUGGACAUAAAAGCAAGC
Molecule: long non-coding RNA, 383 nt
Filed under: Rattus norvegicus (Norway rat)
Lineage: Eukaryota; Metazoa; Chordata; Mammalia; Rodentia; Muridae
Description: long non-coding RNA NONRATT033768
Source: RNAcentral